UACGAAGGGGGCUAGCGUUGCUCGGAAUCACUGGGCGUAAAGGGUGCGCAGGCGGGUCUUUAAGUUAGGGGUGAAAUCCUGGAGCUCAACUCCAGAACUGCCUUUGAUACUGAAGAUCUUGAGUUCGGGAGAGGUGAGUGGAACUGCGAGUGUAGAGGUGAAAUUCGUAGAUAUUCGCAAGAACACCAGUGGCGAAGGCGGCUCACUGGCCCGAUACUGACGCUGAUGCACGAAAGCGUGGGGAGCAAACAGG
Molecule: ribosomal RNA, 253 nt
Filed under: uncultured bacterium
Lineage: Bacteria
Description: partial 16S ribosomal RNA
Rfam family: Bacterial small subunit ribosomal RNA
Source: RNAcentral